Molecule: small RNA, 187 nt
Filed under: Arabidopsis thaliana (thale cress)
Lineage: Eukaryota; Viridiplantae; Streptophyta; Magnoliopsida; Brassicales; Brassicaceae
Description: ATSL149440
Source: RNAcentral
AAUAUUAAAUUAUUUUACGAACUUAUUUGUUUAUAAUUUGGUAACAGAUAGAUAUUUGAAUAUUCGGUAUAUUUUGCUUCAGUUUAGGAAAUCUUUAAUGAUCCGUCUUUAGAUCCACUAAGCCCUAUAAUUAAGAAAUGAAUAUUGUCGUUAAAUAAUUUUGGUAACCUUAACGUCAUUAAAGGAU